Molecule: long non-coding RNA, 329 nt
Filed under: Brassica napus (rape)
Lineage: Eukaryota; Viridiplantae; Streptophyta; Magnoliopsida; Brassicales; Brassicaceae
Description: long non-coding RNA (BNAP_LNC000502)
Source: RNAcentral
AUUGGUGUAUUUGAAUUUUAUUUCUUUUUAAUUUUUAUUCAAUUUCUUAUCUCGGAUUGUGUUCAAUUUUAAUGUUUAGGUAUAAUAUUUUCUCUAAUCCGAAAUAUAAAGUUUAUAACAAUUCAUCUAUGCACCAUGAUAAUAAAAUAUAAAUAUUAACUUUAACUUAUGUAUGAAAAUGAUAUUUAAUAUAAAAUAAAUCUCAAACUAUAUAUGUAAAAAAUAAUCAUAAAACUCUAAUAAAAUGAUUUAUUAUUUUAUGAUUUUUAUUAAAUUAAAAUAUCAAACAAAACCCGUUGGAACGCAACGGGCUCAUAUCUUAUAUUAAU